GUAAGUAUAACAAAACUCAUAUUGCAGGCAAAAACCUGUGAAAAAUAGAUCCAAAAAAAAAUGUGAAUUUUGUGACUGUACUAUUUAGUGUCAUUGUUUUAUAGAUACCAUAGUGAGAAAGGAUUCAUUUCGCAACACCUACGGCUUCCACUAGAUGUCAACGAUCUUUAUAAAGUUGUUUGAAGCGUCUAUGAUAAACAGAGAGCAAAUUAGAAUCCAAGGAAGUUGACAUGUCAUCACUUCAUUUUUUUGCGCCUGCGCAUAAAUCUGAGAAACGUGAGUUUGUCAUCAUUUUUUAUCUAGACAUAGGAUAGGUUGUGUGAAAAUAUUACUGAUGUUUAACGUUAAAAAUGGACCAAAAGAUUAAUGCUAAACAACAUUUGACAUGUUUGAACGAACAUAAAUAGAUUAUUUACUAGUUUUUUUUAGCUUUUCGGCGUGAUUUUACACUCCCCCCACCACGUUUUGUGGGAGCAUAAUGAACGCUAAGUACUUGGUGUUAUUUGGACAUAAAUUAUGAACUUUGUCAAAAGAAACCACAUUUGUUCCGGACCUGGGAUGCCUUCCGGACCUGGGAUGCCUGCCUUCUGAUGGAGAUAAUCAAAGACAAAGUGUACAGUUGGGUGCCAGAGUGAUCCCCUGGUCAUGAAUGAUGCUGGGACCUAACAGAAGCAGCAACGCUUGUCAGGCAAGACCUCAGAAUGAAAGUGUGAAAUGUGACAAGUACCCUUGUGACACCCCCUCCGUUGUUGCCAGAGUCUCCCUCAACUCCUAUAAAAAGGACACAUCAUCAUGAGGCCUCUGAUAGUGACCCGAGUUACUGCCUUGAUGAAAGACUGCUUCAUCGACGACAGGCUCUCCCAGUCAACACCAUCUCAUAAGAUUGCCUGCUGCAGUUGUUCAAGAGAUGUCCAGUCUGAGCCGAAUAUGCAGCACAGAGAAGACCAACAAGGAGGCUCUCAUCAACGUCCAGGGCAUAACCUAGUCUGUAUCUUUGAACAGGGGCCAGGAGCUGAUCUAUGCUGCUAUAGCCAUCACUGGGGCUCUGUCAAAGACCUCACCUCCUGCCUCAACUCUUGCCUGCUCACCAACGUUUGUCAAAGUCCAGACUGACAGACGGGCUUGAUACUGGAGAUGUCUCUAAAUGGAGAUAGACCUGGCAGAAGGCAUCACAUUUUUACUAGACAACUUUUACUUUGUCCUUUUUUAUUAUUGAAUGGUAUCAGUUAAUAUGGGGAGGGAGAAACCCUGUGUAUUCUGCACCAGGAUCAGGGAACUCCUGUUGUAUACGGGACACCACAUGACCACUGGCGUGUUUGCCAAGAUAGCCCCAUUACCACCAGACAAAAUGCCGAUAGGCACAGUAUCUGUAUCAGCUGGGAAUGCACUUACAAUUAAGGCCACCAGUGGAUUGCACAUGGAGAAAUAGUUCUCCACCGUCUGAAUUCCUGGGUGGAAGGAGAAUAGACACUUGGCAUGAAAGCCAGUGGCCUUUGUUCAAGACCUGUCAUAGUACGACAGAUAGCAGAGCAGAACACAGGGUAACGGUCUAUAGAAGAGCCUGAGUGUCGAGGGAGAGGCGUAUUCAUUUCCCUAAUCACUGCAUCCAAUUAAUAAUGUAUAAAGAAAUUAUACCAUUAACAGUCAUAAGUCAAGGUGGUAUGAUAUUAUUCUUGGGGCAUAGAAAUUGAAUAUAACCAUAAUGAGUGUAGAGCAUUUAUGAGCACCCAAGAGUGGGCGCCGUUCUAAAACAAAUCCAGAGUAAGCGCAAGGAUUGAUCCAUUCAGCACAGUCAAUCGAAUCAGAGUGCCAUGACUGUACAUAACGUUAACAUAAAGUAGAAUAAAAGUAUAGGGCGAGGCGUAACAUCUCAAAGAGUUACUCACCCACAGUCCCGUCGCCCCCGGGCCAGCUUCCCACUCCAGUAGUCGGUGGUGAUGCGUUAGAGCGAGGCCAGGUAGCGGACUUCACACAGCGUGCCUCCCCAGGACGCCACCUUCCUCUUGCUGUGCUUCCGCCACUGUAGGUAGAUGGCCCUGAGCUGCCUGUCGAAGGACGACGGCUGGCGGAACAGCCAGUAGGUAAAGAGCCACUGGAAUCGACACUGGGGGUAAUGACUGAACAUGGUCUCCAGCUCACGGUGGUCUGGUAGAGGAGGGGGGGGGGGGAAGAGGCCUGCUUCAGGGUAGAAACCUUUAGCACAAGUGGAUGCACUGCAUGUCAUGGAUGAAAUUGCGUUUAUGCUCCAAUACAUGGAUAACGCCACAACAGUCCCCAUCUAAAUCUAGCGGCGACCAAAAACUACAGGGAAAACAGGACUCGUUUUUAAAUGAACACAGAUCGAUUCCUGUCUGCCACUUGCAGAAAUGUAGAGUUUGUCAAAUGUAUUUUAGGAUCAUGAAAUUAAACAUACAGUAAGGGAAGCCUUUAGGUCAUUAGCUUCCAUUAGCAUUGCCCUGCCUAUAGGCCAAUGCAGUUGAUUUCAGAUGGUGUAUGAAGGGCUCUAGUAAGGAGGGUACAGUAUAACAUAAUAACCCGGAGGAAGACAGCUCGGAGACUGAAACCAUUUGUGACUAGUUUCCGCUCCCCAUAUCACCAGCCGAUAAAAACACUUUGAAGCGACUCAGCAGUGCAAAAAAUUGGAUAACCUUUUUUUCCUCGAUGGCUUCAAUCAUAGACAGACUGCCUGUAAUAAACCAAAAUCCUGCAAGGGGAUACAGCUCAAAAGGUUCUCCAGGGUAAAAUGCCAAUGUCGAGCUUCCCAGUACAGCAUUCUAAAGAUUGGGUAUGAUGAGUUAGAUGAGGGCUCUGCUUUGAGGAUUAAAUCAACUCAUUGCUUACUGGUGUGGUGUCAAACUACUGAAAAAAAUAACUAAACUUAUUUUCUUUAUCCAUUGGGAACAGCCAUAUUUCUGGCCAGGAUUCACACAUAACUUGGCCAUAGCCACAGCACAACAGUCAACAUCUGCACUGCCAAAAAGUCCAUCUGUAUAAGAAAUCUGGCACGCAGCUCAUAGCAGGCAAUAAAGGACAUUACCACCUUUGAAUCCCAUUGCGUUCACAGUGAAGAAUCUAAUUAUAAUUCAUAACUGGCUGUGGAAAGCAGACUAGUCCUAAAAUUGAUCCCCGUAAAAGUAAAAAAAAUGGUAUGCCCCAUAUGGCCUUGCCGAAUAAAUCAGACUGAUACCAAUUCACAGUCUUGUGCACGUGCCUUAGGUCACAAGCAAACAAAUGUUGAUUGGCACCCACAGAGACCUGUGUUUUGAAGUCUGUUUAACAAUAUUUUCCUGUGGAUAUUUUGUCUCAAAUUGACACACAAGGACCAACCCAUGGACAAUCAGCAGAGUAUGUUCAAAUCAUUUUAGUCAACAUUUGUGUCAGACAAGGGACGUUUAGGCUUUUUCUAUGUAAAUAUGUGUGGUUAUGCCUGCACAAUGGAAGGCAUCGCCACAGUCGGGAUCACAUAUGACCUACCAUAGUUCUGUAGUUGGUUGAGUACAUCCUGGAAAACAUUGGCAAUGCUUCCGUGAUGCUCAAGAGCAGUGGUGUAAAGUACUUAAGUAAAAAUACUUUAAGUAGUUUUUUGGGUAUCUGUACUUUACUUUAAUAUUUAUAUGUUUGACUACUUUUACUUUUACUUCCCUACAUUCCUUAAGAAAAUAUUGUACUUUUUACUCCAUACAUUUUCCUUGACACCCAAAAGUACUCGUUACAUUUUGAAUGCUUAGCAGGACAGGAAAAUAGUCCAAUUCACACACUUAUCAACAGAACAUCCCUGGUCAUCCCUACUGCCUCUGAUCUGGUGGACUCACUAAACACACAUGCUUCGUUUGUAAAUGAUGUCUGUGUUGGAGUGGUUCCCUGGCUAUCCGUAA
This 3875-nucleotide long non-coding RNA is filed under the name Salmo salar (Atlantic salmon). Its description in RNAcentral is "lncRNA (ENSSSAG00000089101.1)". The record is from RNAcentral. Lineage: Eukaryota; Metazoa; Chordata; Actinopteri; Salmoniformes; Salmonidae.